UGGGAAAAACAUCUAAUACCGGUAACUUGUUGAGACUUGAGACGGCCCAUAUAUUUGAUUAAAUUUGUUCAUUGCGAUUUGAACGCAGCAGCAUAUGGCGGGCAACAGCUCCGCCUCACUGAAGAUCAACUCUUGUAGCCCUGCUUCUCCAAUAUGGUGGACUCUGAAAAUAGUGGGUCUUCCUAUAUUUACAGAGGCUUCUUUUAUUUAGUUACUACAAAUGAAUUCCUCAAACUAGUUGUAUUGGGAUAUUACAACUUGAUCUUAAUAAACUUUUGAGUGAACAAGGAAUUUUCAAUAAAUUUUGAAUUUUGUUUUUGUAUUGGGAUAUUUAACGUGUGGGCACACAUAAUUUAAAGCCUAAGAUAAAAGAGAUUGUCAUAGUGGGGCCAGCUACUUGCUUUCCUUCCAUAUUCUAGGUACCUACUUUGCCUUUUUCUGCUUGCCUCGUUAUCUUGCUUAUGGACAAAAACUAGGUCUAUCAGAAAUAUCUUCUUUGUCUCUGAGUUAGGAAUUGCACUUUGUAAGACUACUGAGUAUAUUGUUGGACAUGAACUAAUCAAACUGUUGAAGAGUCACAUCGGAUGAAAAAGGGAUGGGUGGUCUCCUUGUAUGACCUUGGGCAAUCCUUUCUCAUGAGCUAGCUUUUGGUACUGAUAUUGGACAACAUAUGGAAUUGUCCACGCACCAGGCAAUGAAUUGCAUAGCAAGUCCUGAGAAGAUCUUUCGAAAACUGCUGACUUUUUUAGUUAGAACUGUGAUUUAGUCUAUAGAAUCUUACGCGCUAAGAAUUGAGUAAGAAAAAAAGAACUUGAUAGUUGAUAACCUUGACUUUCAUCGCCAAUUGGAAAUUUCCAAGUCUUCUUCAAGGUUUAAAUUUGUAUUUAAACUGUGACGCGCCAUUGAACUAUAAUACUACACCUUUUGUGUAAUCAUAUUGUCAAGUAUACCAAUUUAUCCUUAUUACAGUGAAAAACUAGCCUCAAAAUCAUCAGGAUGGUUGAUGCAGUUGUGUCCUAUGCAGUUGAAAAACUGGGAACAUUCCUCAUAGAGGAAGUUUCCCUGCGCCAAAGUCUGAGAGAGAAUGUUCUUUGGCUGAGAAAUGAACUGUCUUUCAUGAAAGCUUUCCUCAAAGAUGCUGAAAAAAAUCAAGAACAAGAUAACCUGGUGCAGCAAUGGGUAUUUGAAAUCACAUCCGUUGCUAAUGAUGCUGUGUAUAUCUUAGAAGCAUACAGUUUGGAUGCGGCAAAAGAUGGUGAUCAUGCUGCUGGAUUCGUUGAUCGUCUUAAGGCUUAUGCUUGCAUCUGUCAGAAGGAGGCCAAAUUACACGACAUUGGGAAGGACAUCCAGUCCCUCAAGGAAAGAGUCAUGGACAUCUCUCGAAAACGAGAUACCUAUGGUAUUGCUCACAACAAUAGUAAUGCUGGAGAAGGGCCCAGUAAUAGGCCAAACUAUACGUCUUCCAUGUUAACAUUGAGGAGAGCAGUGUCCUAUGCAGAUGAAGAUCAACUCUUUGUUGGAUUUCAAGAGGUCUUUCAAAGACUGCUUGAUGAACUUCUAAAAGAGGAGUCUCACAGAAAAGUCCUUUCAAUUUAUGGUAUGGGUGGGUUGGGCAAGACCACUCUUGCAAGAAACCUAUAUAACUCCCCAAGUUUAAUCACUACCUUUCACACUCGUGCUUGGAUAUCUGUCUCUCAACAGUAUAGUAUUCCAGAUCUCCUUCGGAGUAUCAUAAAAUCUAUUGAAGGCUGCAGUGAAGAAUUGCUCAAAUUGCUGAAGGAGAUGUCAGAGAGAGACCUAGAAACUUACCUCCGUAAUCUAUUGAAAAAGCACAAAUACCUUGUGGUGGUUGAUGAUGUAUGGCAUCGAGAAGCUUGGGAGAGCCUGCAAAGAGCCUUACCAGAUGACAACAAUGGCAGUAGAGUUAUCCUUACAACACGAAAGAAGGAAGUGGCUGAAAGAGUCGAUGACAAAGGUUUCCCCCAUGAACUUCGUUUUCUAAAUAAAAAAGAAAGUUGGGACCUUUUAUGCAAGAAACUACAUCCAGAGAAUAAGAUGGUUGGUGCUGACUUGUACUCCCCAUCAAUGGAAAGGCUAGCUAAUGAAAUGGUGGAGAAGUGCGGAGGAUUACCACUUGCUAUAGUAGUACUAGGUGGGAUACUUUCCUACAGAAAAGGGGUGGACGAAUGGCAAAAGGUGAAGACACACCUUUGGCAACAUAUGAAAAAUGACUCUGUUGAGAUAACUCACAUCCUAUCAUUGAGCUACAAUGAUUUGUCAUUUGAGCUCAAGCAAUGCUUUUUAUACAUUGGCAUUUUCCAAGAAGAUCAUGUGAUCGACACUGAAAAGUUGAUGCAUCUGUGGCUGGCAGAGGGAUUCAUACCAAGAAUUAGAGAAGAACAUAUGGAGGAUAUUGCUGAAAACUUCCUACAUGAGCUAAUAAGUCGAAGCUUGAUUCAAGUGGCCGAGACAUUCUUCGAUAAAUUUUUUGCAUGUAAAAUACACGACCUACUUCGGGAUCUUGCUGUCCAAAAGUCCAUGGAGGUUAACUUGUUUGACAUUUAUGAUCCAAGUGUAAGCUCGGUUACUCCAUUUCGUCACCGACAUGCUAUUCAUGGACAAACUCAAAAGUAUCUUUCACUUGAUCUUUCGAAAUUGAAGGUAAGGUCAAUAUUGUUUUUUGAUAAAGAAUUUGAGAAAUUGGAUAAUAGUGAAAAGUUCAUGACAUUCUGUACGACGUUCCCACAUCUAUAUGUGCUGGACUUGGAGAACAUCUAUUUUAGUGAGGGUAAACUACCUGAUGCUAUAGGCAAUUUGGUACACCUGAAGUUCUUAGGCUUGUCUAACACUAAUCUUUUCAAACUCCCAUCUUCCAUUGCCAAACUAGAAAACCUACAAACGCUGGAAGCACUGAUUGAUGACUAUUGCUCAUGCCAAUUACCUCCUCAGAUAGCCAAGCUCACAAAUUUGAGACAUUUAAUUACUCGAUAUGAGGUUCCCCUGCAAGUUAACAGGCUGACAAAUCUACGAACUCUGAAAUAUAUUCGUUGUGAUCAGUGGAAAGAUACUGAUGCUUCUGGUUUAGUCAACCUUCAAGAAUUGGGCAUGGAACAAAUUGCGAAAUCUUACUCCCUAAUAUCCAUUGGCAACCUGAAAAGCCUCACUACCUUGUUUCUAAUUUGCAAUCGUGGUGGAACUUUUCCUCCCCUUGAACCUCUUUCUUCUUGUGAAAACCUUCACAGAUUGUGGUUAUCAGGGGGAAUAGAAGAACUAGCAAAUUUAAACAAUCUGCCAAAAUCCAUCACUGUGUUAGUCCUACAGUCUCCAUUCUAUACAGGACUCGAGGAAGAUCCAAUGCCAAUUCUGGGGAAGUUUCCAAACUUAAAGCAUCUCGAGUUAUCAUGUGCUUACAUGGGAAAGAAAAUUACUUGCAACGGCAACAGUUUUGGUCAGCUGGAGACCCUUAGACUUGAAUAUCUUGACAAUCUUGAAAGCUGGCAUCUUCACACAACUGCUAUGAGUGUGCUUAAAAGUUUGAGUAUACGUCAGUGUCCGAAGCUGAUGAAAAUUCCAAAAAGAAUGGAACAUAUUAAAAUGCUUGAUGGUAAUCAAAGCCAACGGGAGUACUAUUAUCGGUUCCCACAUUAACAAGUUAGGAACUUGCUGCAUGUCUGAAGCUUUUGAGUCACAGGUUUGAGCCGUGGAAGCCGCCACUGCAUUAGGGUUGGUUUUCUACAUCUUCCCAGGACCCUGCUAACUUGGGAUGCUUUUUGCACCGCGCUGCCCUUAUAUGCUUGAAGCCUGAUUUGGAUUGAAGAAUGUUUGAUGUAUAGAGCUAGUGAACACUAAAACGAACAUGCUUUUCCCAGGAUGAUCAUUCUUUUGUUGCUUCUGUGGAGUUAACUGAUGUAUUUCUUGCAUCAGCACGAUAUGGAAGCGGCAGCACUGCACCAGUGACACCUUUUUCAUCAGACGGGGUGUUGGCUGACUGGGGACAGGGACUUCGCUAAAUGCUCUUUUUGGGGGUGUGGCUGGUUGCACUGCUACAAUGUGACAGUCUCUGAUCUCUACAAUGCUCCUUUAUUCUAAAUUUCGUCCUAGGGGAUAAUGCUGGUCUCUGGGCAAUGACAAGAGUUGGAAGCCGAAGAGUCAUGCAAAUAUCUGCUGCUUUUAUGUUUUUUCUUCUCCGUCUUAGGAUAAUUUGGAGCAAUACCUGCAUCAAUCAUGGCUGCAAUAUACUGCAUCUUCUUUAGAACAAACUUCAUAUUGGAACUGGUCCUCUUCAUACACAUUCUAGAUGGUUUAAUGACGCAAUAUCUGUCAUCUUCACAUCACAUGCCACGAUAGCUGCUGCAGUUGCUGUAUUUUUGGAUAGGACUCUUCCAUUAAGUAACGAUGAAGCUCGAAAAGACAAUGGCUCGCAUUGGUGGGACAAGUUUGUGGUAUAUACUAAAGAUGUUAGAAGUGAUGAGUUUUAUACAUUGCGAUGCCAACUUAAUAGAUGAUUCUUCCCACCUUUUAGUCAAAAAUAAAUGUCAUCACUGUUUUGUAAGGGGCUUGUUUCCUUCAUAAACUCGCUCGAGUUCUACCAAGUUUUGUUCUUUUAUUCCUUUAGGAUAACAUCUCAUUCUGUUGACAUCCUAGAAAUCUUGCUAUUAUUGAAUGUCAGGUGUAUCUGCAAUGGAUCCUCA
RNA transcript from Solanum tuberosum (potato), 4691 nucleotides. It is a transcript of the gene named disease resistance protein RPP13, with no coding region annotated. NCBI's taxonomy places the organism in Eukaryota, Viridiplantae, Streptophyta, Magnoliopsida, Solanales, Solanaceae. The record is from RefSeq and is a predicted model, not a curated record. The transcript has 7 exons.